GUCAUAUGCUUGUCUCAAAGAUUAAGCCAUGCAUGUCUCAGUACAAGCCAAAUUAAGGUGAAACCGCGAAAGGCUCAUUAAAUCAGUUAUGGUUCCUUAGGUCGUACCCACAAUUACUUGGAUAACUGUGGUAAUUCUAGAGCUAAUACAUGCAAACAGAGCUCCGACCGGAGACGGAAGGAGUGCUUUUAUUAGAUCAAAACCAAUCGGUGGCGAGUUCGCUCGUCAUCGUACAACUUGGUGACUCUGAAUAACUUUUGGCUGAUCGCACGGUCAUCGCACCGGCGACGCAUCUUUCAAAUGUCUGCCUUAUCAACUGUCGAUGGUAGGUUCUGCGCCUACCAUGGUUGUAACGGGUAACGGGGAAUCAGGGUUCGAUUCCGGAGAGGGAGCCUGAGAAACGGCUACCACAUCCAAGGAAGGCAGCAGGCGCGCAAAUUACCCACUCCCGGCACGGGGAGGUAGUGACGAAAAAUAACGAUACGGGACUCAUCCGAGGCCCCGUAAUCGGAAUGAGUACACUCUAAACCCUUUAACGAGGAUCAAUUGGAGGGCAAGUCUGGUGCCAGCAGCCGCGG
This 578-nucleotide ribosomal RNA is filed under the name Trigonopterus tridentatus. RNAcentral describes it as "SSU rRNA". It matches the Rfam family "Eukaryotic small subunit ribosomal RNA", at positions 23 to 579 of the family's 1831-position model. The record is from RNAcentral. Lineage: Eukaryota; Metazoa; Arthropoda; Insecta; Coleoptera; Curculionidae.